RNAcentral lists this ribosomal RNA (498 nucleotides) under uncultured bacterium. Its description in RNAcentral is "partial 16S ribosomal RNA". It matches the Rfam family "Bacterial small subunit ribosomal RNA", at positions 30 to 523 of the family's 1533-position model. The record is from RNAcentral.
AUUGAACGCUGGCGACAUGCCUUACACAUGCAAGUCGAACGGUAACAGGUCUUCGGAUGCUGACGAGUGGCGAACGGGUGUGUAAUACAUCGGAACGUGCCUAGUAGUGGGGGAUAACUACUCGAAAGAGUGGCUAAUACCGCAUGAGAUCUACGGAUGAAAGCAGGGGAUCGCAAGACCUUGUGCUACUAGAGCGGCCGAUGGCAGAUUAGGUAGUUGGUGGGAUAAAAGCUUACCAAGCCGACGAUCUGUAGCUGGUCUGAGAGGACGAUCAGCCACACUGGGACUGAGACACGGCCCAGACUCCUACGGGAGGCAGCAGUGGGGAAUUUUGGACAAUGGGCGCAAGCCUGAUCCAGCAAUGCCGCGUGCAGGAUGAAGGCCUUCGGGUUGUAAACUGCUUUUGUACGGAACGAAAAGCCCUGGGUUAAUACCCUGGGGUCAUGACGGUACCGUAAGAAUAAGCACCGGCUAACUACGUGCCAGCAGCCGCCGUAA